AGACAGGGAAGAAGCCCACAGACAGAUGCAAGUGCUGGUUAAUGUUCUGAUUCUUGUGUUGGAUGACCAGGUCUUGGGUGUUUAUUUAUAUAAAUAAACAGAGGAGAACCGUUUAUGAACCUAUGGCAAGAGGAUGGCGUGAAUAAGGGAUCAUGAUUAAUAGAAUUCAGAGACAAAGGGAGAGAAAACAAACAAAAAACACCUCUGGAACUUGUUGGAGCUCUUGGAAAAGAAAAGCUGUGAGUGGAUGUUCAAGAGGGUAACCUAGGGCCUCAUGCAUUGGGGCAUUCAGAAGUUUCGUACUGGAUCAAAAACAACGAAUGAAGCCUGCAGUGCAGAGAAAACAUUGUGAUAUGAGGGUCUUGCUGUGAUGACUGGAGCUGUGGCAGCCACCUUGUGACCAUGAGGGAAAAGCCAAGAGACUAGUUGAGAAGCCAACUGAGAGUUUUACCGCCAACUGAGAGUUUUACCUCCAUUGAGCUGCUGGAUUUGCCAACUCUAGAACCACUCAUUCUGGGUAUCUCAUUAGGCAAGAUAAUAAAUUUCUCAUUAUUCAA
This is a long non-coding RNA of Homo sapiens (human), 557 nucleotides long. RefSeq annotates it as long independently transcribed non-coding RNA 2704. The transcript has 2 exons. NCBI's taxonomy places the organism in Eukaryota, Metazoa, Chordata, Mammalia, Primates, Hominidae. The record is from RefSeq and is a predicted model, not a curated record.